Molecule: ribosomal RNA, 694 nt
Filed under: uncultured bacterium
Lineage: Bacteria
Description: bacterial SSU rRNA
Rfam family: Bacterial small subunit ribosomal RNA
Source: RNAcentral
AACGCUAGCUACAGGCUUAACACAUGCAAGUCGAGGGGCAGCAUGAACUUAGCUUGCUAAGUUUGAUGGCGACCGGCGCACGGGUGAGUAACGCGUAUCCAACCUUCCGUACACUCAGGAAUAGCCUUACGAAAGAAAGAUUAAUACCUGAUGGUAUGAUGAGAUUGCAUGAAAUCAUCAUUAAAGAUUCAUCGGUGUACGAUGGGGAUGCGUUCCAUUAGAUAGUAGGCGGGGUAACGGCCCACCUAGUCGACGAUGGAUAGGGGUUCUGAGAGGAAGGUCCCCCACAUUGGAACUGAGACACGGUCCAAACUCCUACGGGAGGCAGCAGUGAGGAAUAUUGGUCAAUGGGCGCGAGCCUGAACCAGCCAAGUAGCGUGAAGGAUGAAGGUCCUACGGAUUGUAAACUUCUUUUAUAAGGGAAUAAAGUCACCCACGUGUGGGUGUUUGUAUGUACCUUAUGAAUAAGCAUCGGCUAACUCCGUGCCAGCAGCCGCGGUAAUACGGAGGAUGCGAGCGUUAUCCGGAUUUAUUGGGUUUAAAGGGAGCGUAGACGGGUCGUUAAGUCAGCUGUGAAAGUUUGGGGCUCAACCUUAAAAUUGCAGUUGAUACUGGCGUCCUUGAGUACGGUUGAGGCAGGCGGAAUUCGUGGUGUAGCGGUGAAAUGCUUAGAUAUCACGAAGAACUCCGAUUG